GGUCUCGUAGUGUAGCGGUUAACACGCCUGCCUGUCACGCAGGAGAUCGCGGAUUCGAUUCCCGUCGAGACCGCCA
Molecule: transfer RNA, 76 nt
Filed under: Staphylococcus aureus
Lineage: Bacteria; Bacillati; Bacillota; Bacilli; Caryophanales; Staphylococcaceae
Also listed under: 1 other name
Description: tRNA-Asp(gtc)
Rfam family: tRNA
About the family: Transfer RNA (tRNA) molecules are approximately 80 nucleotides in length.
Source: RNAcentral